AGCGUCCCUCUCUCCUGCCUGCCCACGCCCUCGUCCCUGCUGAGAUCCUAAGGCCUGGGCAGAGCAUGCUUGACCCUGGGGUCAGCAGGCAGCAGGCGAGGGGGGCUGUGCAUCCAGAAGGCCGUGGCCACGUGAAGUGUCUCUGGAUAUCCUGGGACAUGGAACUGGGGCUGGGUGCAGGGUGCUCUCCCAGGAAGAGCCAGACCCUGGCCUGGCUGACAGAUGAAGGUGACCACUUCAGUCCUGUGCCAGGCUCUUGGCAGCUCUGGCUCUGCUGGGAAGGCCCACCUGAGUCUGAGGACCAGGGAAGGGACCUACGAAGUGACAUUGAAGAUGCCAGCUGUCAGGCAGACCCAGAGGAGGACAAGCAGGAAAAGAAUCAGGAUGCCCUCGAGAAGUUGGACCCUGAUGGAGGAAGGACGGAGCCAGAAGGGAAGGGCUGCCGCCCAGAGGAACCAGAGUCCGUCAAGCUGGAUGAGCCUCCAGGAAAAGAGGACCAAGACCAGCUGGGUGUGCUGCAUCCCGUACUCCACCAGAAGGAAGGCGAAGGAGAGCGUGUAGCAGCCUGGGACAAGGGCAUUGAUGACCACCCAGGUGUGAACCACUGAUCUGCUGGCUAAGCCAUGAUGCCAUCUUUUAAAAAGACACAAUAAAGUGUGAACAGAAGGUGUUCUCCUUCUCUGGUCCCGCUUGACAAUUCUCUGAAACGUGAUGGAGGGACGGGGUGUGAGCUCAGGGACAGGUGGCUGUGCCUCCCAAAUCACGUGUGCACGAUGGCAGCUGUGAUCACCCAGCCCUACCCUUCAGAUCCUAGGAACACCCGGAAGCAAAGUCAGAUCCCUUGGGGUCUGGGGGCAGGCUCUACUCUCAGAGAUGGCCUGCAAACUUGGCCCCAGUGAGAGCAGCCUGGAGGGAGGCUGGCGUGCUCCCCGAGGCCAAGAUGUGAGCAGGCCCAGAACUAAGCCAUUCUUGCAGCUGGACGUGGAGGUCCCAGGGCCCGUGCCUCACAAGGGCCCCUGCCUUGGGCAUCAAGGCUCCGGAGAUGCUGCUUGCGGGGACAAGGGGCAGGGGCAGAGGAUCAUACAAAGGAAGCUUGACAAGGGGUUCAGACUGUGUUUGUUCAAACCACCACAGGCCAAGUGAGCAAAUAUUUUUCAUUUCAUGUGGCCCAACCAAAUGCUGAGAAGGCAGCACACACACCUUGCUCACUCUUAUACACACACAUGCAUGCUUGAGUGCACAAGCAUGUGUACAUGCACACUCACACAUGCAUGUGUACAUGUACACAUAGUGUGCAUUGUGCAUGGAUACAUACAUCUACACACCAUGCACGCACACACACGUGCACAUGGACACGGGCACACAUGCACACAUGUGUUAUAUGUGGGCGCAUAUACACUUGCACACAGAGCACACGUGUGGGCAGUCACACCCACAUAUAUAUACACACGUGCAUGCACACACACAAGCAUACAGGACCACGUGGUCUGGUGACACGCAGCAUCUGAGGGUGAGGAAUAUCUGGGCCCGGAGGUCAGAGGGGUCAGACAGAUGAACCUCUCAGGUGCCCAUCUUGUGUGCAGGUGGGUUGGGCACCACGGUUCCUCUGCUCCAAUGCUGUCCGUCUGGGAACAGGGAGCCUCAGAGCAGCUGGAAAAUGCGUGCUGAGUUGCAAGCAUGGAAACUGGCUUCCCUGGCCGGGUGUAUGGGGCUGCAGCCUUGCUGUCACAGGACCAGAUCACAGACGCACGGAGGACCUCAGCCACCCUAGGCACAGGGGCCGCUGCUUGUCCCCCUGGAAAGGAGAUGUGGAACAUCUGUGUCCCAGCCCCCAAACAGGCAGGCCCUAUCCCUGCCCAAAUUCGAACUGCUGUCACCAACUAGAACGGCACCCAGGAAGCUUCUGCAGAGACAGCUGUGCUGCCCCUUGCUUGGCCAGGAGGGAGGAGUAGACCUCCAUGUCUGGGGCCCAGGGGUACUACCACACAGAGCAGCACUGCCAGACUGGCUUUGCUGGUUCCUCUGUGACCAUGCUCAGCUGCAGGCCAGGAGGGAGACAGGGCCUGGGUGGCCUGCUGUCCAUUCGUCUGUCGUUCAUCCCUUGUCAUGGUGAGUGGCUGCUGGCCUCUUAGGGCCUAGGAAGCAGGGAGGCCCCACGUGUGCACAGCAUGGCUACCUUGGUUGCAGCCUUUCAGCAGUUAAGAUGCAUGAGUCUUUUCAUUAAGCCUCUGAACCUCAAGGUUUGAGGUAGCUCUGUUCCAUGUGGCCUGGGGCUGUCUGCUGGGGAACCAGUCUAGGGCAGGCCUGGGGGUAACUGGAGAGGCUUGGCCUGCAGAUGUGGUGGUUUUGGCUCCGGUCUCCUAGCCACAUGCCCAGUCCCUGAGCUGCCGGCAGGGGUGGCCCUGGAAGCCAGAGGGUCUUGUGGGAGGGGACACACCAGGAAAAUGUCAAGCCUCCAUCGCAGGCGUGCACCUCUGCCCUUGCCGAGGCUUCCAUGGAGCAGGCACAGCCCUCUCUUGCCAGAGAAAUGCACCAGUCCCGGGGGCGAGGUGGGGUGGAGCAGGCGUGGACACCGAGCAAGAGCACUCAGCCCUGAGGGCACCUGUUCUCGCGCAGUAGGGGCCAAGCACUUACUGCCGGGGACAUGGCACGCUUGGAAGCCAGAAGGAAACCAGAGCGUUCAGCUCGAGGCCUUCAGCAGCCGCCCAGGGCUUGGCUGAUGGCCCCAGGUGAUGGCUCCCAGCCUGACCUGGUUUCGUCCUUGACUCUCUGCCGGCCUCCACCUACUCUGCGAGAGGCCCACAGAACCGCCCUGGGGCAGGGCCAGGAUGGGCGGCUCACCGCCCCGCUCACCCUCCUUGCCUCCAGCCUUUCAAUGUUGUCCCCUUCACUUCAAAGCCAAUAUGCAUCUUCCUUGUGGGGACUAACAAAAACCAUUGAAUUUGUUCUCUCUUUUAGACUCUCUGUUAGAAUUUUCAUGUAUUUCUCUCUCUCUCUCUCUCUCUCUCUCUAUAUAUAUAUAUAAAGAGCUAUGUAUGGAGACAGAUGGAUAAAUACAGCUCGUUUCCAAAAUCGG
RNA transcript from Canis lupus familiaris (dog), 3076 nucleotides. It is a transcript of the gene named chromosome 22 C13orf46 homolog, with no coding region annotated. The transcript is spliced from 8 exons. NCBI's taxonomy places the organism in Eukaryota, Metazoa, Chordata, Mammalia, Carnivora, Canidae. The record is from RefSeq and is a predicted model, not a curated record.